CCUACGGGAGGCAGCAGUGAGGAAUAUUGGUCAAUGGCCGUAAGGCUGAACCAGCCAAGCCGCGUGAAGGAAGAAGGAUCUAUGGUUUGUAAACUUCUUUUGUCGGGGAAUAAAGGUAUCCACGUGUGGAUAUUUGCAUGUACCUUAUGAAUAAGCAUCGGCUAACUCCGUGCCAGCAGCCGCGGUAAUACGGAGGAUGCGAGCGUUAUCCGGAUUUAUUGGGUUUAAAGGGUGCGUAGGUUGUUUUUUAAGUCAGCGGUGAAAGUUUGUGGCUCAACCAGAAAAUUGCCGUUGAAACUGGAAGACUUGAGUGUGUUUGAGGUAGGCGGAAUGCGUGGUGUAGCGGUGAAAUGCAUAGAUAUCACGCAGAACUCCGAUUGCGAAGGCAGCUUACUAGGCCAUAACUGACGCUGAGGCACGAAAGCGUGGGGAUCGAACAGGAUUAGAUACCCGUGUAGUC
Molecule: ribosomal RNA, 460 nt
Filed under: uncultured bacterium
Lineage: Bacteria
Description: partial 16S ribosomal RNA
Rfam family: Bacterial small subunit ribosomal RNA
Source: RNAcentral